UACGUAGGGUGCGAGCGUUAAUCGGAAUUACUGGGCGUAAAGGGCGCGUAGGCGGAUAGGCAAGUGAGAUGUGAAAUACCCGGGCUUAACCUGGGAACUGCAUCUUAAACUGCGUAUCUGGAGUAUUGUAGAGGACAGUGGAAUUUCCGGUGUAGCGGUGAAAUGCGUAGAGAUCGGAAGGAACAUCAGUGGCGAAGGCGACUGUCUGGACAAAUACUGACGCUGAGGCGCGAAAGCGUGGGGAGCAAACAGG
Molecule: ribosomal RNA, 253 nt
Filed under: uncultured bacterium
Lineage: Bacteria
Description: partial 16S ribosomal RNA
Rfam family: Bacterial small subunit ribosomal RNA
Source: RNAcentral